GUCGAGAAUCUUUCACAAUGGGGGCAACCCUGAUGGAGCGACGCCGCGUGGAGGAUAAGGUCUUCGGAUUGUAAACUCCUGUCAUGCGUGAACAAGGUUGCUUGGUUAAUACCUGGGCAAAUUGAUGGUAACGCAAGAGGAAGAGACGGCUAACUCUGUGCCAGCAGCCGCGGUAAUACAGAGGUCUCAAGCGUUGUUCGGAAUCACUGGGCGUAAAGGGUGCGUAGGUGGCGUGGUAAGUCAGAUGUGAAAGCCCGGGGCUAAACCUCGGAACUGCCUCCGAUACUGCCAUGCUAGAGUACUGGAGAGGUGACUAGAAUUCUCGGUGUAGCAGUGAAAUGCGUAGAUAUCGAGAGGAAUACCAAAGGCGUAGGCAGGUCACUGGACAGUUACUGACACUGAGGCACGAAGGCCAGGGGAGCGAACGGGAUUAGAUACCCCUGUAGUCC
Molecule: ribosomal RNA, 449 nt
Filed under: uncultured bacterium
Lineage: Bacteria
Description: partial 16S ribosomal RNA
Rfam family: Bacterial small subunit ribosomal RNA
Source: RNAcentral